GCGCACAUGGUGGAACGGUAGACACGCUACCUUGAGGGGGUAGUGGGCUUAAACGCCCGUGGAGGUUCAAAUCCUCUUGUGCGCA
RNAcentral lists this transfer RNA (85 nucleotides) under Alloiococcus otitis. Its description in RNAcentral is "tRNA-Leu(gag)". It matches the Rfam family "tRNA". From Rfam's summary of the family: Transfer RNA (tRNA) molecules are approximately 80 nucleotides in length. Their secondary structure includes four short double-helical elements and three loops (D, anti-codon, and T loops). Lineage: Bacteria; Bacillati; Bacillota; Bacilli; Lactobacillales; Carnobacteriaceae. The record is from RNAcentral. RNAcentral also lists the same sequence under 1 other name.